GCUUAACACAUGCAAGUCGAGGGGCAGCAUUUCAGUUUGCUUGCAAACUGGAGAUGGCGACCGGCGCACGGGUGAGUAACACGUAUCCAACCUGCCGAUAACUCGGGGAUAGCCUUUCGAAAGAAAGAUUAAUACCCGAUGGUAUAAUCAGACCGCAUGGUCUUGUUAUUAAAGAAUUUCGGUUAUCGAUGGGGAUGCGUUCCAUUAGGCAGUUGGUGAGGUAACGGCUCACCAAACCUUCGAUGGAUAGGGGUUCUGAGAGGAAGGUCCCCCACAUUGGAACUGAGACACGGUCCAAACUCCUACGGGAGGCAGCAGUGAGGAAUAUUGGUCAAUGGGCGCAGGCCUGAACCAGCCAAGUAGCGUGAAGGAUGACUGCCCUAUGGGUUGUAAACUUCUUUUAUAUGGGAAUAAAGUUUUCCACGUGUGGAAUUUUGUAUGUACCAUAUGAAUAAGGAUCGGCUAACUCCGUGCCAGCAGCCGCGGUAAUACGGAGGAUCCGAGCGUUAUCCGGAUUUAUUGGGUUUAAAGGGAGCGUAGGUGGACAGUUAAGUCAGUUGUGAAAGUUUGCGGCUCAACCGUAAAAUUGCAGUUGAUACUGGCUGUCUUGAGUACAGUAGAGGUGGGCGGAAUUCGUGGUGUAGCGGUGAAAUGCUUAGAUAUCACGAAGAACUCCGAUUGCGAAGGCAGCUCACUGGACUGCAACUGACACUGAUGCUCGAAAGUGUGGGUAUCAAACAGGAUUAGAUACCCUGGUAGUCCACACAGUAAACGAUGAAUACUCGCUGUUUGCGAUAUACAGUAAGCGGCCAAGCGAAAGCAUUAAGUAUUCCACCUGGGGAGUACGCCGGCAACGGUGAAACUCAAAGGAAUUGACGGGGGCCCGCACAAGCGGAGGAACAUGUGGUUUAAUUCGAUGAUACGCGAGGAACCUUACCCGGGCUUAAAUUGCAUUUGAAUAUAUUGGAAACAGUAUAGCCGUAAGGCAAAUGUGAAGGUGCUGCAUGGUUGUCGUCAGCUCGUGCCGUGAGGUGUCGACUUAAGUGCCAUAACGAGCGCAACCCUUAUCUUUAGUUACUAACAGGUCAUGCUGAGGACUCUAGAGAGACUGCCGUCGUAAGAUGUGGGGAAGGUGGGGAUGACGUCAAAUCAGCACGGCCCUUACGUCCGGGGCUACACACGUGUUACAAUGGGGGGUACAGAAGGCAGCUACCUGGUGACAGGAUGCUAAUCCCAAAAGCCUCUCUCAGUUCGGAUCGAAGUCUGCAACCCGACUUCGUGAAGCUGGAUUCGCUAGUAAUCGCGCAUCAGCCAUGGCGCGGUGAAUACGUUCCCGGGCCUUGUACACACCGCCCGUCAAGCCAUGAAAGCCGGGGGUACCUGAAGUACGUAACCGCAAGGAGCGUCCUAGGGUAAAACUGGUAAUUGGGGCU
Molecule: ribosomal RNA, 1433 nt
Filed under: uncultured organism
Description: SSU rRNA
Rfam family: Bacterial small subunit ribosomal RNA
Source: RNAcentral